Molecule: non-coding RNA, 26 nt
Filed under: Gallus gallus (chicken)
Lineage: Eukaryota; Metazoa; Chordata; Aves; Galliformes; Phasianidae
Also listed under: 3 other names
Source: RNAcentral
GACGGGCGAUGGCCUCCGUUGCCCUC